CCUACGGGUGGCUGCAGUGGGGAAUAUUGCACAAUGGGCGAAAGCCUGAUGCAGCAACGCCGCGUGCGGGAUGACGGCCUUCGGGUUGUAAACCGCUUUCAGCAGGGACGAAGUGAAAAUGACGGUACCUGCAGAAGAAGCACCGGCUAACUACGUGCCAGCAGCCGCGGUGAUACGUAGGGUGCGAGCGUUGUCCGGAAUUAUUGGGCGUAAAGAGCUUGUAGGCGGUCUGUUGCGUCGGAAGUGAAAACUCAGGGCUUAACCCUGAGCCUGCUUUCGAUACGGGCAGACUUGAGGGAUGUAGGGGAGAACGGAAUUCCUGGUGGAGCGGUGGAAUGCGCAGAUAUCAGGAGGAACACCAGUGGCGAAGGCGGUUCUCUGGACAUUUCCUGACGCUGAGAAGCGAAAGCGUGGGGAGCAAACGGGCUUAGAUACCCCGGUAGUC
Molecule: ribosomal RNA, 445 nt
Filed under: uncultured Actinomycetales bacterium
Lineage: Bacteria; Bacillati; Actinomycetota; Actinomycetes; Actinomycetales
Description: bacterial SSU rRNA
Rfam family: Bacterial small subunit ribosomal RNA
Source: RNAcentral